GUAUUAUUUUAAUUUUAAUUUCUUGUGUACAAUUUGGAAAUUAGUAUGGCGUUCAUUAUCACUGAACUAGUAUAUAUUUGUUUAGGGGCCAGCUGAAGGACGCCUCCGGGUGCUGGAAUUUCUCGCUACAUUGAAGACCUGUUGGUGACCUUCUGCUGUUGUUUUUUUCUAUGGUCGGGUUGUUGUCUCUUUGGUACAUUCCCCAUUUCUAUUCUCAAUUUAAU
This 224-nucleotide long non-coding RNA is filed under the name Mytilus galloprovincialis (Mediterranean mussel). The record is from RNAcentral. Lineage: Eukaryota; Metazoa; Mollusca; Bivalvia; Mytilida; Mytilidae.